Molecule: non-coding RNA, 212 nt
Filed under: Roseobacter sp.
Lineage: Bacteria; Pseudomonadati; Pseudomonadota; Alphaproteobacteria; Rhodobacterales; Roseobacteraceae
Description: FMN sequence
Rfam family: FMN riboswitch aptamer (RFN element)
About the family: The RFN element is a highly conserved domain that is found frequently in the 5'-untranslated regions of prokaryotic mRNAs that encode for flavin mononucleotide (FMN) biosynthesis and transport proteins. This element is a metabolite-dependent riboswitch that directly binds FMN in the absence of proteins.
Source: RNAcentral
CCCUGUUCUCAGGGCGGGGUGAAAUUCCCCACCGGCGGUAUGCGAGGGGCCUCCCUUCGUGAGCCCGCGAGCGGCUUUUGCGUUUUACGCCUCCACAGCCCGAAAAGUGGGAACCGGUUUUUGGACUGUGCUGUGGAGCAAACAAAAAAGUGUCAGCAGAUCUGGUGUGAUUCCAGAGCCGACGGUCAUAGUCCGGAUGGAAGAGAACGUGC